GAUGAACGCUGACAGAAUGCUUAACACAUGCAAGUCAACUUGAACUUCGGUUUGGGUGGCGGACGGGUGAGUAACGCGUAAAGAACUUGCCUCACAGAUAGGGACAACAUUUGGAAACGAAUGCUAAUACCUGAUAUUAUGAUUAUAUGGCAUCGUAUAAUUAUGAAAGCUAUAUGCGCUGUGAGAGAGCUUUGCGUCCCAUUAGCUAGUUGGAGAGGUAACGGCUCACCAAGGCGAUGAUGGGUAGCCGGCCUGAGAGGGUGAUCGGCCACAAGGGGACUGAGACACGGCCAGUACUCCUACGGGAGGAAGCAGUGGGGAAUAUUGGACAAUGGACCAAGAGUCUGAUCCAGCAAUUCUGUGUGCAAGAUGAAGUUUUUCGGAAUGUAAAGUGCUUUCAGUUGGGAAGAAAAAAAUGACGGUACCAACAGAAGAAGUGACGGCUAAAUACGUG
RNAcentral lists this ribosomal RNA (454 nucleotides) under uncultured bacterium. RNAcentral's name for it is "partial 16S ribosomal RNA". It matches the Rfam family "Bacterial small subunit ribosomal RNA", at positions 28 to 507 of the family's 1533-position model. The record is from RNAcentral.